Molecule: ribosomal RNA, 459 nt
Filed under: uncultured bacterium
Lineage: Bacteria
Description: partial 16S ribosomal RNA
Rfam family: Bacterial small subunit ribosomal RNA
Source: RNAcentral
CCUACGUGGUGCAGCAGUGAGGAAUAUUGGUCAAUGGUCGGGAGACUGAACCAGCCAAGCCGCGUGAGGGAUGAAGGUACAGAGUAUCGUAAACCUCUUUUGUCAGGGAACAAAGGCGGGGACGUGUCCCCGGAUGAGUGUACCUGAAGAAAAAGCAUCGGCUAACUCCGUGCCAGCAGCCGCGGUAAUACGGAGGAUGCGAGCGUUAUCCGGAUUUAUUGGGUUUAAAGGGUGCGCAGGCGGUCUGUUAAGUCAGCGGUCAAAGCCCGGGGCUCAACCCCGGCCCGCCGUUGAAACUGGCAGUCGCGGGUUGGAGAGAAGUAUGCGGAAUGCGCGGUGUAGCGGUGAAAGGCAUAGAUAUCGCGCAGAACUCCGAUUGCGAAGGCAGCAUGCCGGCUCCACACUGACGCUGAGGCACGAAAGCGUGGGUUUCGAACAGGAUUAGAUACCCUGGUAGUC